RNAcentral lists this long non-coding RNA (5724 nucleotides) under Apis florea (little honeybee). RNAcentral's name for it is "uncharacterized LOC116414254, transcript variant X2". Lineage: Eukaryota; Metazoa; Arthropoda; Insecta; Hymenoptera; Apidae. The record is from RNAcentral.
AAAUAACCGGAUGAGAACUACAAUCGCGUUUCGCUUCAAUAAUUACAGAUAUUGCUUUUAUUGUUAAUUACUCGCCAUAAUUUUAAUUGUAUUUUUAAUUAUCUGAUGUAUCGAUGCAUCGAACAUGAAACGUUUUCAAGGAGGCUUCUAAAUUCGUAUCUACAAUAUUCUCAUUCAAUUAUGUAUGGAGAGCUAUUUGUAAGAAAGGUUAGAUCGAAAGAGGUUCGAUACAAUAUCCCUCGAGACAUGUAUCGAGUUUAACGAGCGUUUCUCAUCCGUUCUUUUCAGAAAUAUCGAUACCGCGCAAAGUCGAAUAUGCGUAUAUACAUCGAAGAAUCGAUCGAGAUAAACUAUCGCGAUAAACAUAAACGCAAUAUGGACGCGUCGCUUGAUUUCGGCUCUUUCACGUGGUUUUCUUUACGAACGUUAUAAAUUUUAUCCUCGCAAAGAAUUUGGAACAUGAGUAACGCACACUCAAGCUGGUCGGAAAUGAGUGUUGUGUAAAAAGUUUCGUUUUCUUGCGCUUGUGCAAGUCGUCCGCUUUCGAAAAAUCAAGAGAAAAGAAAGAAAAGGAUUCUAACCUAUUUCCAUUUGCUUUGACGAAACGUUGGGUGCGCGCAUACACGGUCACGUGGUUCGCUAAAUAAAAAUAAAGCAUCUUGAUUCGAUUACUUGUUUCGCCGAUAAUUCGUUUCAUAAUUCUUAGCAUAAAAAUCGUGCUAUAUUAUGUAAUCAUGCGAUAAUGGAUAAUCGAGAAACUAUCAAAAUAUCGAUAAAAGAAUGAUGAAAAUCUUGGAUUCAGUGGCUUUAAGCAUAACAAAAACGAUUUCGUAUUUAUCUACGUAUCUUUACGAAUAAUAAAUUCGAUUCGGUGAAUGCAAUUUUUAAGAUGGCGAACGAAACAAACCUUUCCAAUUGUAUCCUAAUAUAUGGGAGUAUAGUUACGGGAAAUUUCUUUCGGAAGAAUUGCAAUAUUGAAGUUUAUCGCAAGAUUUUCCAUAACGGAGAAACAUAACAGAGAUAGAAAAAGAGGUACGGAUGAAGAUAAAAGUGGAGAAAGUACGAGAAAAGGAAAAUUGCGGAAAAUCUUACUUCUAAGAUUUCGUGACCCCGAAGAAGUUAUCCUUGAAGGUAGCGAGGUGGAAGAACAAAAAAGUAAAGAUGUUCGAAGAAAUCUUUUGACGAGAGGAAUGAGAAUAAGUUUGGAAGAAGAAAAGAUUUAUUUUAAAAGAAGCAUACAUACGUUGAACAGAAUGAGGUGUCGAUGAUAUAAACUGUUACGCAAGUGUAAUUUUUAAAUUUCACCGUUAAAUUAUAUCGGUAAUUCAAUCUCGGUCUAUUUCGCAAUUAAACUGUUUUCGAUUUCGUUUUGCAUACCUCUUCCUUCUUUACCUUUUUCAACGCGAUAGACAGAAUAAAUGGCAAUCGCGUUCAUUGCAGCAGGCGAGGCAAAUGCUUUUUUGCUCUUUUCGUGCUUCCUCGACUCGAGGAAAUGGUGGAAAACAUUUACAGCUUCGAAAUGGAAAUAAAAAAAAAAAAAGAAAAGAAAAAAAAGGAAGAAAGAAAGACUAAUCGAGAAUCCAUCUCUCGAUCUGGAAAACCUUUGCUCAUUUCUUUCCCAUUCUCCUUUACUUUUUCUUCCCUUUCAUUGCACAGCUGAUUCCUCCUGUUUUAUUUAUCUUUUUCCUUCUACAUUUUCCUAGGUUAAGAAAAAACUAAGAAUUUUCGAUCGAAUUUUUUUCCUUCAUUCCUUAUGCGAAUAUUUAUUUAAAGAAACUUAUUUGAAUGAAAUUAAUCUAGAAAAUCGCCGAUAUUCGAAAAACUAAAAACUUUAAGCCAGUUCCUUCCGAAAAUGCAAGUUUCUAUUCACGAUACAAUAUCGUUGCAAAUACCUUGGCGAGUAUCUUGCUCGAGUUUUUUCGUUGACCUCUUUUCCAAGAUCUCGCCUCUUAAAAUCGUAUACUCGCGGGAAAAAAUGGCGAUUGCGUUUGCGUCGAACCAAACCUAACCUAACCAAAAAUACGUUUAUAGACUCCCGCACGAUCGAGGAGAGAAUUCCAUUUUCAGUCUGGAAUUUAAUUCAUCGUGGAAUUUACGGGUGGAUUUGUUGCGCGAGAAAGGAAGAGACUGAUCGAGAGGUGGUUGCUCUGCCUAAUUAAAGAAUUCGCUAUUGCCGCGAGAGGAGAAAAUCCAUCCACGAGAGGAAAAAAAAUUGAUAGUAUCCAAGAGACGUUUUAAGAAUCCAGAAUAAAUUGUCAGAGGAGAGCUUGGAUGGGAAGAAAAAGAGAGGAAGAGAGAAUGUAAAGCAGAAAAGAGGCGAACAAAAGGAGGCGGCAUUUGACUACGUCCUAUGUCCGAAUAUACGAAGUCUUGAACACGUGAAAAUGGCGUCUCCCCGCGUUUUCGAACAAUUUCUUCCAUCUUUCCCUGCCGAAUCGUGAACUCGCAACGCGCAGAAAGAACAAAUCUCGCGAGCGAAACUGUUGGAGAGGGGAGAAGAAGUACAUCCAUCUUAUCUGUCGAUUCGCUGUGCUAAAUGAAUUCGCAAGUGUAAACGUUAGAUAAAUUGGCGGGUCACGUUGCGGGAUCAGGAAAGGAAUCGCUGAACAGAAUAGGAGGAGGAGAACGGAGGGGGAUCGGGAGACGAGUACAGAUUUCAAUCCUUUCCUAUUUUCCCGAACGGAACGAAUUCCUCGAUUCAUCCUUGAAAAAUUAUUAUUGGACGAAUGAUGGAUCGAGAGAGUCGACUUCUUUCGAACGACCUAUAUGAAAUUGGAACGGAACUUUCUUCUUUGAGGGGUGAUGAAAUCAAGAAGAGGAGGGGUUCGUAGGACGAUCUAAAUAUUCUUCAGAAGAAUUACAGUCUCGAGUUAGAAACUUUUUUUCUUCGAGCUCAAUAGAACUGGAUGAUUAUGUUCUUUUUGAAGCUCGAACGAAAUUCUCUCCUUUCGAGCGCUCACAGAACGAUCCAAAUCCGAAUGGAAAAAUUUUUUUCGAGGAAUUAUGAUCUAAAGUUAGAAACUUUUUUCUUUGAGACGCUCAUAGAACGAAGAGUAUAAAGAUUUUCUUCCGUCAAAUAAAAAAUCGAAAGGAGGCGUUCAUAAAAUCAUCCAAAUAAUUGGGAGAAUUUUUUCGAAGAAUUAUGAUUUAAAGUUAGAAACUUUUUUUUUCAGGCAUUCAUAAAAGGAUCUAAAUGAUUAAAAGAUUGUAUUCUUUCGAAGAGUUAUGCUUCGAGACUGCGAGGAAAUUUUCAUUCGUGGGAUAAAAUCAAAAAGAAGCGUUCAUAAAAUGAUCCAAAUAAUUGGAAGAAUUCUUUCGAAGAAUUAUAAUUUAAAGUUAGAAACUUUUUUCUUUGAGACGCUCAUAGAACGAAGAGUAUAGAUAAAAAUUUUCUUCCGUCAAAUAAAAAAUCGAAAGGAGGCGUUCAUAAAAUCAUCCAAAUAAUUGGAAGAAUUUUUUCGAAGAAUUAUGAAUUAAAGUUAGAAACUUUUUUUUUCAGGCAUUCAUAAAAGGAUCUAAAUGAUUAAAAGAUUGUAUUCUUUCGAAGAACUAUGCUUCGAGAUUGCGAGGAAAUUUUCAUUCGUGGGAUAAAAUCAAAAAGAAGCGUUCAUAAAAUGAUCCAAAUAAUUGGAAGAAUUCUUUCGAAGAAUUAUAAUUUAAAGUUAGAAACUUUUUUUUUUCGAAGUGCUCAUAGAAUGAUCUAAUUAACUGGAAGACUAUGUUCUUUCGAAGAAUGAAGGGCAGAACGAAACUUUCUUCUUUGGAACGCUUGUAAGAACGAUCUAAACGAUUGGAAGAGUACGUUCUUUCGAAAAGCUAUAAGAACAUUUUCUUUCGUGCAAUAAAAUUAAAAAGAGUGCUCAUAAAACGAUUUAAAUGAUUGGAAGAUUAUAUUCUUUCGAAGAGCUAUAAAGAAAUUUUCUUCUGUGAAAUAAAAUUAAAAACAGGGGGUUCAUAAAACGAUCCAAAUAAUUAGAUUAUUAUGUUCUUUCGAAGAAUGAAGCUCAAACGAAAUUUUCUUCUUUUCAUAAAACGAUCCAAACGAUUGAAAAAGAAUUUUUUCGAGGAAUUAUAAUCCAAAGUUAGAAACUUUUUUCUUGGAAACGCUCAUAGAAUGAUCCAAAUAAUUGGAAGAAUUCUUUCGAAGAAUUAAAAGUCCAAAGUUAGAAACUUUUUUCUUUCAGGCGUUCAUAGAACGAUCUACAUUUUAUUAGAAGAGUAUGUUCUUUCGAAGAACGAAAGUAGAAAGAAAUUUGGAACGAUCUAAACGAUUGGAAGAGUACGUUCUUUCGAACAGCUACAAGAAAAUUUUCAUCCGUAAAAUAAAAAGCGUUCGUAAAAUAAUUGAAAUAAUAAAUUUCCAAGAAUAAUAAUCUAAAGUUGGAAACUGUUUUCUUCUUCUGCGGUAAUAAAAUGUGUGCUCCUUCCUUGGACAAAACGAAAAAAAAGCGAUUUAGAUAACGCGCGGCUAAUACGAUUACGUCGCAAUGGUCGAGACACGUGAGUUUAUUGGAAACCCAAAAUGGUAUGUCGUUCUGUCAAAGCCGUACGAAAUUCCCGCGGCAAAAAAACACGGCUAUUGCUCGAAUAUUUCGUGGCCGAACGCUAUGACGGGCGAAGAAAAUUUUCUCGCGAAUGCGGCCAAAUAUUUAGCGAUGGAUGCGCCUGGAGGAAAGAUGGCGCGAGAGAUGCGGGCUCGUGCUAUUUCCAAUUUAGAGUCGUCGCGCCCUCCUUCCUCCCGCAUAUUAACUUUGCCAACUUAAACGCGAAACUCUGAAUGCUCGAAACGCGUUCCACUCGAUCCGCGGUCUAAACGAUUUCGACGAGCCACGGUUCAAAGAUUCUGCUUUCGCCCCGUCGUGAUUAGAUUCCCGUGUAAAUAAUUAACACUCUGCAUCCGGUAAACGAUAAACUCGCUAUCUAUGGAUAGAAACGGCAAGAAAAAUCGUGGGUGUGAGACAGAGAAAUUCGGAUAGAAUUUCGCUUCGCGUUUUCUCGGCUUAUUUUUUUCGUUGCUAAGUAAAUUUUUUCGAGGCUCUUAUUCUUUUUUUUUUUUUCUUUUAUUUUAUUCUUCUAUUUCUAUUGUCGCUGUUGGACUUUGUUCUCACGAGAUCGGCGUUAUAACGGAAAAAAAAAAAAAAGAAAAGACUCGACCUUUGUCACUAAAUGACUAGAUAAUCCUAUUUGAUACUAUUAAAUAUGUUACACUUUGCGUAAUAAAUAUUGAUAAGAUCGAUAUCAUUAUCUAAUCCGCGUGCUAAUGUUAUACACGCGUUGAUGCCAACAACAGCGCGCGUAAUUGUAUAUUGAGAAUAAUCUAUUUCAGUGUCGUUCGCCAAUCUUUCUCCACGAAAUUCUAAAAUACCUAAAAAAAAAAAAAAAAAAAAAAAAAAUUACAAUUGAGCUUGAAUUCUUAUUGUAUCCAUUCUUUUAUUUCGAAUUUUUUACCUUCGUUUCUCGAAUUUUCACCCACACAGAUGUUUUUUAAUCGUUUCGAAGCAAUUCGCAACCGGAGACGUAAAUUUUAUAUCUCGAUAUCUCUAUCCUUCUAUUCUCGACUCGACCACACGACAUCCUUUUCACUUAUCCAACCUUCUCUCUCUCUCUCUCUCUCUCUCUCUUUCCUCCCACUUUGACGGACGUCGAUUAAUUCUUCGAUUUAACUGACAGGUGGAAAAAAACAAACAAAUUGAGAGGUAUGGAUAAAAUAAAAAAAAGAAGGGA